UUGACCUCAAAUCAGGUGGGACUACCCGCUGAACUUAAGCAUAUCAAUAAGCGGAGGAAAAGAAACUAACAAGGAUUCCCUUAGUAACUGCGAGUGAAGUAGGAGGAGCUCAAAUUUGAAAUCUGGCAGUCUCUGGCUGUCCGAGUUGUAAUCUAGAGAAGUGUUGCCCGCGCUGGACCGUGUACAAGUCUCCUGGGAUGGAGCGUCAUAGAGGGUGAGAAUCCCGUCUCUGACAUGGACUACCAGGGCUUUUGUGGUGCGCUCUCAAAGAGUCGAG
Molecule: ribosomal RNA, 277 nt
Filed under: Leucocoprinus gongylophorus
Lineage: Eukaryota; Fungi; Basidiomycota; Agaricomycetes; Agaricales; Agaricaceae
Description: Leucoagaricus gongylophorus partial 28S ribosomal RNA
Rfam family: Eukaryotic large subunit ribosomal RNA
Source: RNAcentral